Molecule: ribosomal RNA, 492 nt
Filed under: uncultured bacterium
Lineage: Bacteria
Description: partial 16S ribosomal RNA
Rfam family: Bacterial small subunit ribosomal RNA
Source: RNAcentral
AGUGAACGCUGGCGGUAGGCCUAACACAUGCAAGUCGAACGGCAGCACAGUAAGAGCUUGCUCUUACGGGUGGCGAGUGGCGGACGGGUGAGGAAUACAUCGGAAUCUACUUUUUCGUGGGGGAUAACGUAGGGAAACUUACGCUAAUACCGCAUACGACCUACGGGUGAAAGCAGGGGAUCUUCGGACCUUGCGCGAUUGAAUGAGCCGAUGUCGGAUUAGCUAGUUGGCGGGGUAAAGGCCCACCAAGGCGACGAUCCGUAGCUGGUCUGAGAGGAUGAUCAGCCACACUGGAACUGAGACACGGUCCAGACUCCUACGGGAGGCAGCAGUGGGGAAUAUUGGACAAUGGGCGCAAGCCUGAUCCAGCCAUACCGCGUGGGUGAAGAAGGCCUUCGGGUUGUAAAGCCCUUUUGUUGGGAAAGAAAAGCAGCAGGUUAAUACCCUGCUGUUCUGACGGUACCCAAAGAAUAAGCACCGACUAACUUCGUG